CAUAAUUACAUAUUUGGCAACAGAGGGUGAGGGGGUGAAGAAAAGCUCUUUUCCCAUCUGCAGAAAAUCCUGACAGCCUCUUGAAAACAACAGUAAUGAGGGAGAGAAAAAGAGGUAUUUGUGAAGGCUUUAGAUAUUCACACAAAUAAUAUUAAUUUCACACAAAUAUGCCAAACACAAAACCUUUCUUGAUUUUUUUUUGUUUGCACGGGAGGAGGCUGUGCACAUUUCACUGGAACUCCUGGCAAAAUACAAGGAUCUCAGGGCAUGUAGCUCUCACAGAAUAUUUUAAGAAAGAAAAUCUUAGUUGGUGUUUUAUUUCACAGUAUUCACACCAUUGCAACUCUAGACAGAGGCAGAAAAUGAAGAAGCAAAAAAUGGAUCUAAGUUUACUGGACCAAUAAAGUGAAGAAAAGGGAAACAUUCAGAUUAGUCUUCAUAGAGCCUAAGUAGCUCACUGCAUCCUAAGGAAACUCCUCUUUGUUGUGGAGCCCUGAAUACAGGCUCAAGGAAGUUUGAAAAGGAAAUAAGUGUUGUCAGCUCUGGACAGCAGCAGAAGGAAGAAAGGAAAAUCUUUUAAGAACUCUGUUCCAGGAACCAGACAUGAAGAGCAAAGCUUUGCCUUCAGCUCAGCCCUUCACCCUACAGCAUCACAGCAAUUUCAGGAUAAUUCAGGCCAAAAAAAACCUCAGGACACCUUGUCACUGAAGAUGAUUUUGAGACUUUUGGUUGCUGGAUGCCAUGAAAUGUAUACACAGGGACAUGAUAAGGCAUUUGGAAGCAAUCUGCUAGACAGGAUGAACUGGUAGCCAGCACAAUGUGCAGCUUCAACAGUGUCCUGUUAGUUGGGGAAAAGUCUCUGAACUCACUAAAUUCACCAGCCCUGCUGUCUGGGGGCUGAGGAUGGAAACAGGACAGCCCUUUUCCUGAGGACCAGAUCUCAUACUCCACCAAAGCCUGACUGAAGGUCUGGGGUGCAGAGGAGCAACAGAGAAGGCAGUUUGGCUGAACAUCUUUCUUCAGAAAAAAGUAUACCUAGAUGUUCAGAAUAAGUGUCAUCAUCAGAUGAAGGAUAUUAGUAAUCCUCAUUUAUGGAGAUGGAAACUGCAGUACAAGGAUAUUAAAAUAAAGAAUUUGGAUAUUUUCUACUUCACUGGAAUUCUGGCACUGGAGAAUUGCCUGCUCUGAGGUCUGCUGCCUGCCAAGCAAGGUCUAGAUUGUGGGGCCAAAACUGUGUUUGCAUGGGUUGAUUGCCCUGUGUAUUUUCACACCAACC
Long non-coding RNA from Zonotrichia albicollis (white-throated sparrow), 1276 nucleotides. RefSeq lists it as uncharacterized. The record is from RefSeq and is a predicted model, not a curated record. NCBI's taxonomy places the organism in Eukaryota, Metazoa, Chordata, Aves, Passeriformes, Passerellidae.